Molecule: ribosomal RNA, 402 nt
Filed under: uncultured Brevundimonas sp.
Lineage: Bacteria; Pseudomonadati; Pseudomonadota; Alphaproteobacteria; Caulobacterales; Caulobacteraceae
Description: bacterial SSU rRNA
Rfam family: Bacterial small subunit ribosomal RNA
Source: RNAcentral
AGUGGGGAAUCUUGCGCAAUGGGCGAAAGCCUGACGCAGCCAUGCCGCGUGGAUGAUGAAGGUCUUAGGAUUGUAAAAUCCUUUCACCGGUGAAGAUAAUGACUGUAGCCGGAGAAGAAGCCCCGGCUAACUUCGUGCCAGCAGCCGCGGUAAUACGAAGGGGGCUAGCGUUGCUCGGAAUUACUGGGCGUAAAGGGAGCGUAGGCGGACAUUUAAGUCAGGGGUGAAAUCCCGAGGCUCAACCUCGGAACUGCCUUUGAUACUGGAUGUCUUGAGUGUGAGAGAGGUGAGUGGAACUCCGAGUGUAGAGGUGAAAUUCGUAGAUAUUCGGAAGAACACCAGUGGCGAAGGCGACUCACUGGCUCAUUACUGACGCUGAGGCUCGAAAGCGUGGGGAGCAAA